Molecule: non-coding RNA, 786 nt
Filed under: Chrysis galloisi
Lineage: Eukaryota; Metazoa; Arthropoda; Insecta; Hymenoptera; Chrysididae
Source: RNAcentral
UUUAAAUUGUAGAAAAUUUUUUUAUAAAAGUUAAUAAAUUUAAUUAUAGUUUAAAUAUUAAUUUUAAAAUUUAUGUAUAUAUAAUUUUUAGAGAUUUUUAUUAAAUAUUAAAAUUUUAGUAUAUAAAUUUAAUAAAAUUAAUUAAAUUUAAUUUUAGAAAUUUUUAUAUUUUAGAUAAAUAAUUGUGCCAGCAAUCGUGGUUAAACAAUUUAAGAAAAUUAAUAUUAUUAAGUUGAAAUUAAAUUUAAGAUUAAAUAAAAAAUAUUAAGAUUUUUAGGUGAAAUUAAUUAAUUUUAAUAAUUUUAUAAAUUUUAAUUAUUGAAUUUUUAAAAAUUUAUUUAAAACUAGGAUUAGAUACCCUAUUAUAAAAUUUAAAUAUAAAAUUUUAACAUUAAAUGAAAAAACAUUAAAUUUAAAUAAUUUGGCGGUAUUUUAAUUUUAUUAGAGGAAUUUGUUAAUUAAUUGAUAAUCCUCGAUAAGAGAAACUUUAAUUAAAUUUUUAUAUUGUUGUUUAAAAAGUAUUUUUGGAGGAAUUAUUUAAUAUUUUUUAGAAAAAUUUAAUUCAGAUCAAAAUGAAGUGAAUAUUAAAGAAUUAAUGAGUUACAAUAAAUUUUAUUUAAAUGAAUUUAUAAUUUUAAAAUUAUAUUGAAGGUGGAUUUAAAAGUAAAAUAAAAUAAUUAUUUAAUUUGAUUUAAAUUUUAAAGUAUGUACAAAUUGCCCGUCGUUCUCUUUGAAAAAGGGGGUAAGUCGUAACAAAGUAAAAGUACUGGAAAGUGUUUUUAGAUA